GACGAACGCUGGCGGCGUGCUUAACACAUGCAAGUCGAACGGAAAGGCCCUGCUUUUGUGGGGUGCUCGAGUGGCGAACGGGUGAGUAACACGUGAGUAACCUGCCCUUGACUUUGGGAUAACUUCAGGAAACUGGGGCUAAUACCGGAUAGGAGCUCCUGCUGCAUGGUGGGGGUUGGAAAGUUUCGGCGGUUGGGGAUGGACUCGCGGCUUAUCAGCUUGUUGGUGGGGUAGUGGCUUACCAAGGCUUUGACGGGUAGCCGGCCUGAGAGGGUGACCGGCGACAUUGGGACUGAGAUACGGACCAGACUCCUACGGGAGGCAGCAGUGGGGAAUAUUACACAAUGGGCGGAAGCCUGAUGCAGCAACGCCGCGUGCGGGAUGACGGCCUUCGGGUUGUAAACCGCUUUCGCCUGUGACGAAGCGUGAGUGACGGUAAUGGGUAAAGAAGCACCGGCUAACUACGUG
This 468-nucleotide ribosomal RNA is filed under the name uncultured bacterium. RNAcentral describes it as "partial 16S ribosomal RNA". It matches the Rfam family "Bacterial small subunit ribosomal RNA", at positions 28 to 507 of the family's 1533-position model. The record is from RNAcentral.